CGUUACUUUUAUAACUUGACAGGUUUACUCCAAACCACAGUGCAGGGAAGAUUCGCACUUACGGCGGACAUCGAAGUGUUUCAAAGAACGCGAAGUACAACAAACUUGUGUUAGGGUUAAUAACAUCGAUCCAAGCAUAAUUUAAAAACACAGUUUUUAAAAAUCCAGUAAAUCGAAUCUUCUUCUUGGCGCCAGACGCUUGGAAACUUUCCCGCCGUUUUCCAGACCACGAUUGGCCAUGAACCCAAACACAGCACAAGAAGUUCCAGCACAACGCAGAAUUCAUGCUGAAGGUGUGUUUGCUUCAAACCAUCACUUUCAGAAACGAAUCUUCAAUAGUUGUCAAAACAUCUCAAACAUCCCAGAGAGGAUAAGAAAAAAACCUGGAUCACUCUAGUCCAUACUGUACGUCCUGGAAAACCAUAGACUGACAGAAGGAGACGGCCUGCUCUGUUAGUCCUUUCUAAACACCUCAGUGCACUUAAGCAAGCAAACAGCACACCAGAUGCAUCGAUCUCAGAGGACCUGAUGCUUGGGGAAAUCCUCACUAGCAGAAAUCUGACUACAUAUCAGAACUCUGUUUAGCAAGCAUGGGUUAGCAGAUCCAGAGGAUGCCAGGACUCGGGUCACAAUCAUGCUCUGUGACUCUAUUCUAAAUGCCUCAAACACAGAAGCAUGAAAAUCUCCCAAUAAUGCCAGGCUUUUCCCACUGGUUUAGAUCCCAUUUUUGUAUCAGCUCUUGUCAUUUAUGUCCCUGCAAUGAAUGCUGCCAUUGUUGGAUAUUUUUGGUUUGUAUUUUCUUGUUGUACACAAUCUACUACAUGCCGUCUUU
This is a long non-coding RNA of Sinocyclocheilus rhinocerous, 832 nucleotides long. RefSeq lists it as uncharacterized. The record is from RefSeq and is a predicted model, not a curated record. The transcript is spliced from 3 exons. Lineage: Eukaryota; Metazoa; Chordata; Actinopteri; Cypriniformes; Cyprinidae.